This is a long non-coding RNA of Callithrix jacchus (white-tufted-ear marmoset), 2886 nucleotides long. The record is from Ensembl. NCBI's taxonomy places the organism in Eukaryota, Metazoa, Chordata, Mammalia, Primates, Cebidae.
AUGUUAAUUUCCUGUCUUUUUGAUAUAUACCCAUCAGUGAGAUUGUUGGAUUCUAUGGUAGCUCUAUUUUUUGUUUUUUUUUCUUUUUUUAGGAACUUCCAAACUGUUGUUUAUAGUGGAUUUACUGAUUUACAUUCCUACCAACAGUGUAUGAGGACUCCCUUUUCUCUACAUCCUCCCCAGUCUUUGUUAUUGCCUGACCUUUGGAUAAAAGCCGUAUUAACUAAGUUGUCUCUCCCAAUAUGAACUGCAGAAAAAUGAGGUUUCCAGACAAGAUCACAUUUCUGCUUGCUCCAUGCUACGAUGGAAUCAAUCAAAGCAAAUAAUGCUGGGAAGGCUGAGAGAUAGCAAAGGAAUAUUGGUAAAUAUGGUCUUAUUCCAACAAACCAAAUAACCUAAGAGAACGAUUUGUGGAUCUGACAGGAGAUACUGCAAUUGAAUAUUAUUUUGCUGCAGCAGAAUUGUUGCUACUGCUGUCAGCACACAGCAGGUGGUUGGAAGUUGGCAACUUUUAUGAAAGCCAUUUAUAUUACAGUACAUUUUAUGUAAACAGUGGCAAUAUAAAGCUAAACUGUUCCAGGAAUGAGAUGCAAAUACUAGAAAUGGGUUUUCUUCAAUAAGAAUUUAGGCAAUUGUGCUUGAAUUAAAAUGAAGAAUAACUUUAAGACACCAUCGACAUUUUCUACACGUUUUGGCUUUAAGUACUACUCGCAAAGUCUUCACCACAUUUACACUGCUGGGAUUUCUGUUGACUUUGGUGAAUGUGCUAUUUUGGAGGCUGAAUAAGUCACAGAUUAAAUUCUUAACUGAUUAAUUAUGACAAAAUGUUUGCAAAUAUAUACUUUUUAAAAACCAGAGGGAACCAAUUUCUUCUUAGAAUAAUGCUACUCUCAUGUGCUUUCUCAUAAAUUUUCGUAAGGGAAAAUAUGAGCUAGAAUAUGCAUUAACACAACAGAAUUGCCUAUGGCCAUAAGAGAAUAUUGCACAUUUACUUAUGAUCACCUAUUUCAUCACAACAGAAAAAAAGACUGAACUUAUAUUCUCUGGAAAAGAAAUACUCAAAAUUUCUAAAACACAGUUGUUCACAUGGAAUGGUGUAUUCCACUAGCCCAAAAAUUUCUUUAGAAGGGAUUAUUCCAACAUCAUGUUGUGGUCUUUAAUUAAAUGAAAUCACAGUAAAAAGCACUUAAGGAGAGAAGGCUCAUCUGGGAUAAAGCAAAUAAAACAAAGAAAUGACUAUAAAAUGUGAAGGAGCGAAAUACAACAGGCAUUGCCCACUCAUAGCAUAGCCUACUGCAAACUCUAUUUGUCAAUUUUCAUGACAUCCUAUUAUACGCAGGUAUAUGAUUCCCCCACUUCCCAGGUUUCCUGAAGUUUAAGUGCCCAUUCAGAGUAUAGGGAAUGGCAGGGAUGGUCUGAUGAACACUGGCAUUUGUAAGCCCCAAGCAAAUCAGUCAGAAUGACUGACUAGCUUCAAGAUCUUCCCACUCAGUUCAUUUCUCAACACCUAUAGCAGUUGGGAAUUCUGAUCAGAAGACGCCUACCUACCAAACAAGGUAUUCUUGUUUUACUGAAUACAAUCCAAAAGUUCUGGAUUUUAAGAAAAUCAUUCUUAGCAUUAGAAUGACUGAUGACAUCAUAAAAUAUCUUUCUCACUUUGUCUCCCAUUAUUAGGAACCUAACUGUUUUUCUGUUUAGCCAUAAUUGUUUCUUCAUUAUCCUGGAAUAUCCUGUUUAUAACCCUGAGCUUACAAUUACAGUAUUACUCCUUCCUAGUAGAGCCUUCUCUACAUACGUCAACUUGAUCAAAUACUAUUUUUCCUUAUGACCUGAAUUAAUCUCCACAGGCUUCAUGAUACACUGAGAUCAGUAUAUUUUUUAGAAAAAAAAUACUUAAUGUCACCUAGGCAUCAAGCACUGCUAGAUGUAGGCAACACAAAGAGAAAUAAAUACUUAUGAUGGCAGUGGUGGCCCACGUGUAGCAGCUGCUGCAAACACACCAGUUGCAGUGGGAAAGGCGUGCCUGGGGUUGCCACUCAGUUGGGCAGGUGUGAGCUGGGAAAAUGAAGGGGCUCCACCCUUUAUCAAGUUUGGCAGGGUGGGAACCCUAUACUCCUGGGCUCAGCUGCAGUCGCCCAGUCACAGCUCUAGAUCCAGAUAUUUCUGCACUCUUGUAGGCCCAGCAAACCCUGCUUCCCGGGCAGGCUCAGACGUGACUGUUCCUGCUCUCUGGCCUCUCCUUGCUCCUUGCCCCCACUCUGAUUUUGGAGGAAAGUUGAAGUAAAGCCUGAGUGCUGUGGUGAACCUGCUGGGUGUGUGCAUGCUCAGGGUGGCGCUGACGCACCAACCCCCUAACCACCUUGGGCCACUCUGAAAUUCUGGGCACAAACAUGCACAAGAAAGAGGCCAGGGGGUACAGCUCCAUAUGGGCCUGCAGAUGCCUCUGGGUGCAAACAGCCUGGGUGCCAUGAAUGCCAUGUUGAUGGCGGGACGCAGACAUAUGAGCAUAAAGGGGCAGAUCCCAGUGAAAGCCCAUCUUUAAGCCAGAGACAGCUUGAAGCCUGCGCUGGGCUGCCAGUUCCAGUGGAGUCCUCAGCCUGGAGUGAGAGCUUAUGGUGCUUUUUUUUAGGCCUCUGGCUUCCCACCCAGUAACCAGUCAGCAUGAACUUCCUCCCUUCUGAAACCAAAAAGUCCCCCGGACUCAGCCAGACUUACACAGAUGUCAGGACUACCAGCUUCAGGAAGGAGCUCCCUACUGUGGGUCUUCUCUCUGCUGAGAGCUGCAUAUUUGUUGGGACAACCUGCCUGUGGAAAGGAGCUACCCACUAUGAGUGUCCUGAGAGCUGUUAUGUCAUUCAGUAGAGCUCCUCUCUGCCUUGCUCACCC